GUGCCAGCCGCCGCGGUAAUACGGAGGGUGCGAGCGUUAAUCGGAAUUACUGGGCGUAAAGAGUGCGUAGGCGGCUCGUUAAGUCAGAUGUGAAAGCCCUGGGCUCAACCUGGGAACUGCAUUUGAAACUGGCGAGCUAGAGUUGAGUAGAGGUAAGUGGAAUUUCAGGUGUAGCGGUGAAAUGCGUAGAUAUCUGAAGGAACACCAGUGGCGAAGGCGACUUACUGGACUCAAACUGACGCUGAGGUACGAAAGCGUGGGUAGCAAACAGGAUUAGAUACCCUGGUAGUCCACGCCGUAAACGAUGUCAACUAGCCGUUGGUCCUAUAUACAGGUUUAGUGGCGCAGCUAACGCAUUAAGUUGACCGCCUGGGGAGUACGGCCGCAAGGUUAAAACUCAAAGAAAUUGACGG
Molecule: ribosomal RNA, 413 nt
Filed under: uncultured Methylococcaceae bacterium
Lineage: Bacteria; Pseudomonadati; Pseudomonadota; Gammaproteobacteria; Methylococcales; Methylococcaceae
Description: bacterial SSU rRNA
Rfam family: Bacterial small subunit ribosomal RNA
Source: RNAcentral